GGGGACGAACUGGAUUCGACGGGUAUAGGGUGCUUUGGGUCGCAUGCCGCGCUUUUUCUGUGUGCGCGUAAAAUAAGCGGAAACCAAUACUCAACAAUAACGCAUACGCGUUGGCUGCCUAAGGAUUAAUUUCCUGCAGUCCGUUUCGGCCAUCUCCCGUUGAUCGGAGUUAGCUGAGAUGUCAUUUUUGAUCGACUAGCGAAGGGCCAAUGCUCGGAGGUCUGACGCGAAAUACUAUCGAGCUCGCCGGUUUGCUUUUUGGACGUUUUUUAUGAGCCGGUUAAAAACCAAAACAGUCCUACGCAUGUAGAUGCCCUUAGGAACUUAUAUUCGGACACGGGUUCAAUUCCCGUCGUCUCCACGA
This 364-nucleotide transfer-messenger RNA is filed under the name bacterium. Its description in RNAcentral is "JABWCP01 sp013360215 Standard tmRNA". It matches the Rfam family "transfer-messenger RNA". Rfam says of the family: Bacterial tmRNA, also known as 10Sa RNA or SsrA, is named for its dual tRNA and mRNA-like properties. Its role is to liberate the mRNA from a stalled ribosome. The record is from RNAcentral.